RNAcentral lists this ribosomal RNA (253 nucleotides) under uncultured prokaryote. RNAcentral's name for it is "partial 16S ribosomal RNA". It matches the Rfam family "Bacterial small subunit ribosomal RNA", at positions 524 to 776 of the family's 1533-position model. The record is from RNAcentral.
UACGAAGGGGGCUAGCGUUGCUCGGAAUCACUGGGCGUAAAGGGUGCGUAGGCGGCUUUUUAAGUCAGUGGUGAAAGACAACAGCUCAACUGUUGCAGUGCCAUUGAUACUGAAGAGCUUGAGUACAGAUGAGGUAGGCGGAAUUUAUGGUGUAGCGGUGAAAUGCAUAGAUACCAUAAAGAACACCUAUUGCGAAGGCAGCUUACUAAGCUGUAACUGACGCUGAGGCACGAAAGUGUGGGGAUCAAACAGG